UUGGAUUUGGCUUCUGGGUUUGGGGCAGGGCCCGGGGGAUCCAAAUUCCCUCUGUCCUGCACACAGCUUCAUGGGGACUUGGGGAUGGAGGCUGCACAGGCAGCCUGGCUGGUCGCAGCCUCUCCGCUCCUCCCUCCCUUCUCUGCUCUGCUGCUCCCUCCCUCCCUUCCCCCUCACUGUCUCCAGCCCUGCAAUCCAUCACAGCUCUGUGUCCCUGCCCUUUGUGACCGCGUCUCUCUGCAGCACUACUUUUGCAUUUUGAUGUUAAAACAAUAUUUUACCCAAUAUAUGACAGCACUUGGAGCCUUUGCAAAGGCCUUUCACAUCUGUUACUUCAUUUGAUCCUCACCAGGUUGCUGUCAGGUAGGCAGGGAAGGUAUUAUUAGUGAGGGUGCUAGUCAAAAUAUUUAACAGUCCAUAUUCGAUGGGCUCAGCCACGGGAGAGGAGGCAGGCCAUGGAGCUGGAGAGGGCCUGGAGCCAUCCUCUUUUAGUUACUGGAGCAGGGAUUGGGGGAGGGGUGCUGGCGUUGGGACCUGGAAGUCUGGGGCAUCCAGCGUGGGUGGGAGCAGAUAUGAAGGAUUCAGGGAAGUGGCUUUUUGCCAAGCAGUCUGGAAGCAUUUCUGUUUUUUCUUUCUUUCUUUUUUUUUUUUUUUUAGCAGAAUUGAACUGUACCAGUGCUUACAAUGGUCUCUAAUUAUCUGUAGAAUUGUGGUGAUGCAGACACCGAGGUCCAGAGAGGCGUGAGGGAACGAUCCAAGAUGGCUAAUCGCUAACAUCUCGGGAUUGCAGCUCCCAGCGAAAGCGCAGAGAACCAGAGGACGCCACACUUUCAGACAAAUUUUGGUCGCUCACGGAGCAGAAGAUUCCCAGUGGAGGAGCUGCAUGGGUCGCCAGGGCGACUCUUGUGGCCAGCACAGCGGUUUCGCCGGCACCUCGGCUCGGCAGCACUUGGUGCAGAGUAAACGGGACUGGUUCCCCUUCUGACCGACGUUCAGAGCUCCGGGAAGGCAGAAUCACCUAUUACAGACUCAAGAAGAAAGCCAGACUGGAGAUUCCGGGGCAGAAAAGCACCAUCAGUCUUAAUGCCGCUGUUUUGGCCAGCGCAGUUGGUUGCUCAUAUUUCGGCCCUGGGAAUUAACAACUUGGACAUCCACUCAGAGACCUAAUUUGGAAGUUGGUAAUUACAAAGACCACAGGUGGAUAAAUUUACAAUGAUGGGAAGAAACCAGCAUAAAAAGGCUGAGAAUACUCAAAAUCAGAACGCCUCUCCCUCUAAAGAGGAUCACAGUUCCUCAUCAACAAGGGAACAAGACUUGAUGGAGAACGGGUGCAUUCCAUUAACAGAAUCAGGCUUCAGAAGAUGAAUAAUAAGAAACUUCUGUGAGUUAAAAGACCAUGUUGUAGCCCAAUGUAAAGAAACUAAGAACUUUGAAA
RNAcentral lists this long non-coding RNA (1435 nucleotides) under Callithrix jacchus (white-tufted-ear marmoset). RNAcentral's name for it is "lncRNA (ENSCJAG00000074120.1)". Lineage: Eukaryota; Metazoa; Chordata; Mammalia; Primates; Cebidae. The record is from RNAcentral.